UGACCUCGGAUCAGGUAGGGAUACCCGCUGAACUUAAGCAUAUCAAUAAGCGGAGGAAAAGAAACCAACAGGGAUUGCCCUAGUAACGGCGAGUGAAGCGGCAAUAGCUCAAAUUUGAAAGCUGGCCUUCUGGUCCGCAUUGUAAUUUGUAGAGGAUGCUUUUAGGCAGCCGCCGGUCUAAGUUCCUUGGAACAGGACGUCAUAGAGGGUGAGAAUCCCGUAUGUGACCGGCUCUGGCACCUUAUGUAAAGCUCCUUCGACGAGUCGAGUUGUUUGGGAAUGCAGCUCUAAAUGGGAGGUAAAUUUCUUCUAAAGCUAAAUACCGGCGAGAGACCGAUAGCGCACAAGUAGAGUGAUCGAAAGAUGAAAAGCACUUUGGAAAGAGAGUUAAAAAGCACGUGAAAUUGUUGAAAGGGAAGCGCUUGCAAUCAGACUUGGACUUGGCUGUUCAACCGGUCUUCUGACCGGCCCACUCAGUCUCGUCCAGGCCAGCAUCAGUUUCGGCGGCCGGAUAAAGGCCCCGGGAAUGUAGCUGCCCCCCCGGGGGCAGUGUUAUAGCCCGGGGUGUAAUACGGCCAGCCGGGACUGAGGUCCGC
Molecule: ribosomal RNA, 596 nt
Filed under: Kabatiella harpospora
Lineage: Eukaryota; Fungi; Ascomycota; Dothideomycetes; Dothideales; Saccotheciaceae
Description: eukaryotic LSU rRNA
Rfam family: Eukaryotic large subunit ribosomal RNA
Source: RNAcentral